RNAcentral lists this ribosomal RNA (424 nucleotides) under uncultured bacterium. Its description in RNAcentral is "bacterial SSU rRNA". It matches the Rfam family "Bacterial small subunit ribosomal RNA", at positions 354 to 795 of the family's 1533-position model. The record is from RNAcentral.
GUGAGGAAUUUUGCACAAUGGGGGCAACCCUGACGCAGCGACGCCGCGUGGAGGACGAAGUCUUUCGGGAUGUAAACUCCUGUCAGUGGGGACGAUAAUGACGGUACCCACAGAGGAAGCACCGGCUAACUCCGUGCCAGCAGCCGCGGUAAGACGGAGGGUGCAAGCGUUGUUCGGAAUUACUGGGCGUAAAGCGUAUGUAGGCGGCAAGUUAAGUUCAAUGUUAAAGCCCACGGCUCAACCGAGGAGAUGCAUUGAAUACUGGCUAGCUAGAGGGUGUUAGAGGAAGACGGAAUUCCCAGUGUAGCGGUGAAAUGCGUAGAUAUUGGGAGGAACAUCGGUAGCGAAAGCGGUCUUCUGGGACAUACCUGACGCUGAGGUACGAAAGCGUGGGGAGCAAACGGGAUUAGAUACCCUGGUAGCC